RNAcentral lists this ribosomal RNA (253 nucleotides) under uncultured bacterium. Its description in RNAcentral is "partial 16S ribosomal RNA". It matches the Rfam family "Bacterial small subunit ribosomal RNA", at positions 524 to 776 of the family's 1533-position model. The record is from RNAcentral.
UACAGAGGGUGCAAGCGUUAAUCGGAGUUACUGGGCGUAAAGCGCACGUAGGCCGAUUGUUAAGUCAGGGGUGAAAUCCUGGAGCUCAACUCCAGAACUGCCCUUGAUACUGACGGUCUCGAGUCCGGGAGAGGUGAGUGGAACUGCGAGUGUAGAGGUGAAAUUCGUAGAUAUUCGCAAGAACACCAGUGGCGAAGGCGGCUCACUGGCCCGGUACUGACGCUGAGGUGCGAAAGCGUGGGGAGCAAACAGG